GGGCUCUUAGCUCAGCUGGGAGAGCGCUACGCUGGCAGCGUAGAGGUCAGCGGUUCGAUCCCGCUAGGGUCCACCA
Molecule: transfer RNA, 76 nt
Filed under: Bacteriovorax sp. BSW11_IV
Lineage: Bacteria; Pseudomonadati; Bdellovibrionota; Bacteriovoracia; Bacteriovoracales; Bacteriovoracaceae
Description: tRNA-Ala
Rfam family: tRNA
About the family: Transfer RNA (tRNA) molecules are approximately 80 nucleotides in length. Their secondary structure includes four short double-helical elements and three loops (D, anti-codon, and T loops).
Source: RNAcentral